GAUGAACGCUGGCGGCGUGCUUAACACAUGCAAGUCGAACGGAGCUUUGUUACGGAAUCUUCGGAAGAAGUGAUGAAGCUUAGUGGCGGACGGGUGAGUAACACGUGAGCAACCUACCUUUUGCAGGGGAAUAACUCUGGGAAACCAGAGCUAAUACCGCAUGACGUACACAUGAGGCAUCUUAGGUGUAUGAAAGGAGUAAUCCGGCAGAAGAUGGGCUCGCGUCCGAUUAGGUAGUUGGUGGGGUAAGGGCCUACCAAGCCGACGAUCGGUAGCCGGACUGAGAGGUCGACCGGCCACAUUGGGACUGAGACACGGCCCAGACUCCUACGGGAGGCAGCAGUGGGGAAUAUUGGGCAAUGGGCGGAAGCCUGACCCAGCGACGCCGCGUGAAGGAGGAAGGCUUUCGAGUUGUAAACUUCUUUGGGGAGGGACGAAGAUGACGGUACUCCAGAACAAGCCACGGCUAACUACGUG
This 477-nucleotide ribosomal RNA is filed under the name uncultured bacterium. Its description in RNAcentral is "bacterial SSU rRNA". It matches the Rfam family "Bacterial small subunit ribosomal RNA", at positions 28 to 507 of the family's 1533-position model. The record is from RNAcentral.